AUGGCCUCUGGUGUGACCGUCUCUGAUGGUGUCAUCAAGGUAUUCAGUGACAUGAAAAUUCACAAAUCCUCAAGGCCAGAAGAAAUGAAGCAAUGCAAGAGGGUGGUGCUCUUCUGCCUGAGUGAGGAAAGGAAGGACAUCAUCCUGGAGGAGGGCAAGUCUUGGAAGCAGAUGUAGGGCAGACUGUGGGUGAGUCCUCCUACACCACUUCUGUCAGGAUGCUGCCAGACAAGGACUGACCGUCACUACACUCUCUAGGAUGCAACCAAGGAGAGCAAGACAGAGGACCAACCUGCUGUUAUCUUCUGGGCCCCUCAGAGUGCAUCCCUUAAAAGCAAAAUAAUCUGUGCCAGCUUCAAGGAUGCCAUCAAGAAGCUGACAGGAAUAAAACAUGAAUUACAAGCUAACUGCUACGAGGACAUCAAGGCCCCCUGAACCCUGGUAGAGAAACUAGGUGGCGCUGUGGUCAUCUUCCUGGAGGGCAAGCCUUUG
RNAcentral lists this long non-coding RNA (492 nucleotides) under Mus musculus (house mouse). RNAcentral's name for it is "long non-coding RNA chr11:69950797-69951289". Lineage: Eukaryota; Metazoa; Chordata; Mammalia; Rodentia; Muridae. The record is from RNAcentral.